Molecule: long non-coding RNA, 950 nt
Organism: Ictalurus punctatus (channel catfish)
Lineage: Eukaryota; Metazoa; Chordata; Actinopteri; Siluriformes; Ictaluridae
Source: Ensembl
CAGCCACCCUUAUAACUGGCUUUCUUCAUGGUUCUCUAAAAAUUAAGGCUUUCCUUGCGAGACGAGAAUCUUCACCAUCUGAAUCAUGAUGCCUUGGAGAUUGGGCGCAUGGUUGCAACAUAUUCAGUCAAGAAAGCAAGUUCUGCAGGUCUGAACCUGUCACACAGUAAUCGUGCCAUAGCAAGAAACAGGGAGUUCCACCCGGUGUCAUUUGGGCGGAUGAGUUGGAGCUUGCAUUCCUUUUCAAUCAGCUCCGCAGCUAUGGUGGAGCGAGCACUUAGCACUUAGCAAAUGCUGCAUGUGAAGUUUUUUUGUAGAUCUCGUUUGAGUUUGCUUUUGUGGCGUCCAAUGUUGAGGUCAGGUUAAGAAGAUGACAAGCACAACGGUGAUUCUUUGGAAGCUGAUAUUCCGAACAACCAUCUUCAUGAGAGCUUCUACCUCAACACGCUCUGCCUCCACUCCCAGAGUUUCAUGUUCCUCACUGUCAUUCACGACCAUUACCUUCUCCCCUACUGCUGAACGUCCUUCCACAAAUGGAUGCAUUGUCAGUGGUGGUCCCUAAUACUUCAAACAUGUGGGAUCCUGUUAGCCUCCUGCAAGCAAGAGCUAUGGAGCAUCUCUCUAUCCAGUGAGCGGUCACCCCAAUUAAACUCUGACAACGUGCAGAACAGCAAUCUGUUGUUGUAGCUAUGUAUUUGAUUUCUAUCUUGGUUCGAACUAUUGUUCGAGACAUCACAGUAUAACUGGGCUGAAAAUGCUGCAUUAAACUUGACUGUUCUACAACUCCAUAGGGGUGCCAACCCUGGACAAUAAAGUUUAUAACUCCACGAUCAGUGCUCCUCUGGUGUCCUCCUGUUUCUGCUGCUUACUAGUUGAAGCACCCUCACCACACCCAUUCCUCGUCCUUUUGAUUGUGGUUGCUGUCAGUGCAAGGUAUCGCUGUAGAUAAG